ACAAAUUAUCCAAAAACAUAUUAAAAUAAGUAUAAGUCAAUAAAAGCGACCGUGUUAGAACCACGGGACUCGAGGGAUGCCUAAUACCUUCCCCUCGGUCAACAGAAUUCCUUACCUGAAUUUCUAGUUCGUAGACCAAAACUAAAAGAGUCAUUUCCUAUUGAUUAGGGAUUCGAAAAGGUGACUUGGAACACCACAACUCAAUUCCAAGUGGCGACUCUGAAAAAUUAAAACAAUCCAUUAAUCAAUACCGUCACUUAAAUUGGAAAAAACCCUUCCACCUCUGUGCGCAAAAAGGGGUGUGACA
This 307-nucleotide long non-coding RNA is filed under the name Solanum tuberosum (potato). Its description in RNAcentral is "long non-coding RNA (STUB_LNC011372)". The record is from RNAcentral. Lineage: Eukaryota; Viridiplantae; Streptophyta; Magnoliopsida; Solanales; Solanaceae.